GAUGAACGCUAGCUACAGGCUUAACACAUGCAAGUCGAGGGGAAACGAUAUUGGAAGCUUGCUUCCGAUAGGCGUCGACCGGCGCACGGGUGAGUAACGCGUAUCCAACCUGCCCAUCACUUGGGGAUAACCUUGCGAAAGUAAGACUAAUACCCAAUGACGUCUCUAGAAGACAUCUGAAGGAGAUUAAAGAUUUAUCGGUGAUGGAUGGGGAUGCGUCUGAUUAGCUUGUUGGCGGGGUAACGGCCCACCAAGGCGACGAUCAGUCGGGGUUCUGAGAGGAAGGUCCCCCACAUUGGAACUGAGACACGGUCCAAACUCCUACGGGAGGCAGCAGUGAGGAAUAUUGGUCAAUGGGCGAGAGCCUGAACCAGCCAAGUAGCGUGCAGGAAGACGGCCCUAUGGGUUGUAAACUGCUUUUAUAAGGGAAUAAAGUGAGUCUCGUGAGACUUUUUGCAUGUACCUUAUGAAUAAGGACCGGCUAAUUCCGUGCCAGCCGCCGCGGUAA
RNAcentral lists this ribosomal RNA (508 nucleotides) under uncultured bacterium. RNAcentral describes it as "partial 16S ribosomal RNA". It matches the Rfam family "Bacterial small subunit ribosomal RNA", at positions 28 to 523 of the family's 1533-position model. The record is from RNAcentral.